Long non-coding RNA from Centruroides sculpturatus (bark scorpion), 503 nucleotides. RefSeq lists it as uncharacterized. The record is from RefSeq and is a predicted model, not a curated record. NCBI's taxonomy places the organism in Eukaryota, Metazoa, Arthropoda, Arachnida, Scorpiones, Buthidae. The transcript is spliced from 3 exons.
GAUUUCAUAGCAAAGUCACAUACAAGCUAAUACUGCUGAAUUUAUUUGCAAUGAAAGUAACAAAUUCAUUGUGUGAAAUUAUGAAAUUGUGUUAUCUUCCAACAAAAAUAUCUAAAUCAAGUACGAUUUCAUGAUUUUUAGAGUAAAAAUGUUUUUGUUUUUGGAUUGAACUGAUAGGAAGAAACAAUCCUCCUCAUUUCUUCAAAACCAUAAAUUUUUGGGUAAGCCUAGAUAAUUUUUCUGAUUAUUCAUACUAUCUACAAACCUUUCAUUUGAUUUUAGAAAUAUUUUACACAUCUUGAAUUCAUUCUUGGAAAUGAACUUGACUGGCCUGAAACAUCAUUUGCAACAGGUUAUAAGAAUCUCUCUUGGCCUACACUUCAAGGAUAUACAGAUUCUUUGUAUUUUAGAUUAAGGGAACACAAUUUAUGUAAUCAUAGAGAUUAUCAAAAUUUGGCUGUUAAUGGAGCAGACAGUGAAGAGACAAUUAAAUAUAUUAAAGA